RNAcentral lists this long non-coding RNA (223 nucleotides) under Lathyrus oleraceus (garden pea). RNAcentral describes it as "Pisum sativum (pea) long non-coding RNA (PSAT_LNC029242)". The record is from RNAcentral. Lineage: Eukaryota; Viridiplantae; Streptophyta; Magnoliopsida; Fabales; Fabaceae.
AAUUUGAUUUUUAUUUGCUCUGACCUUUGUUUGAUCCUUCAAUAUUUGCAUCAUGUCCAGUUUCUGCUAAAUAACAGUACUUAGAAAUUCUAAGUUUUUUCCGAUUCUUCCAAAUAAAAGAAAGCCUCUCUCAUUCUAUCAUAGUAAACCCAUCAACUAAUUUUUUUUGAAACAACUGUCUUCAACGUAACAAAGUUCGCGCUUCAUUAUUUCUUGUCUGAAU